GCCCCCAUCGUCCAGCGGCCUAGGACGCCGGCCUUUCACGCCGGUAACACGGGUUCGAAUCCCGUUGGGGGUA
Molecule: transfer RNA, 73 nt
Filed under: bacterium
Lineage: Bacteria
Also listed under: 5 other names
Description: tRNA-Glu
Rfam family: tRNA
About the family: Transfer RNA (tRNA) molecules are approximately 80 nucleotides in length. Their secondary structure includes four short double-helical elements and three loops (D, anti-codon, and T loops).
Source: RNAcentral